RNAcentral lists this ribosomal RNA (522 nucleotides) under Triticum aestivum (bread wheat). RNAcentral describes it as "partial small subunit ribosomal RNA". Lineage: Eukaryota; Viridiplantae; Streptophyta; Magnoliopsida; Poales; Poaceae. The record is from RNAcentral.
AUGGCGAGCUGCCGGAGGAGCGCGGCCAUCGCUGCCGCCUUGGUGCUGCUGGCGUUCGGGUGCGGCAUGGCCGAGAGCCGGCGCGUGGCCAGGAUGGGCCUCGGCAUUGACCUGGGCGGCGGGGAGGGCGCCGGGCUCGGCCUCGGCCUUGGUCUCGGGGUUGGAGCGGGCACGGGAGGGGUGUCCGCGUCCGGAUCAGGCUCCGGCUCCGGCUCCGUGGCUGGAGCGGGCUCGACCUCUGAGUCGAGAUCCGGCUCGGUUUCUGUUGGAGGUGCCAGCUCGUCUGCCGGGUCAAGCGCUGGGUCCAACGCCGGAUCGGCCGGGUCAGGGGCGGGGUCUUCCGCCGGUUCGGGGGCGGGUUACGGUGGCGGGCAGGGCUAUGGCGGUGGAGGUGGCGGUGGUUCUGGUUCCGGGUCUGGGUAUGGCGAGGGCGGAGGGUAUGGUCGGGGAUCGGGGAAUGGAUCGGGCUUCGGGUUUGGGGAGGGCCGUGGUUUUGGGUCUGGUUCAGCUGGAAACCCUUGA